GACGAACGCUGGCGGCGUGCUUAACACAUGCAAGUCGAACGGAAAGGCCCUGCUUUUGUGGGGUGCUCGAGUGGCGAACGGGUGAGUAACACGUGAGUAACCUGCCCUUGACUUUGGGAUAACUUCAGGAAACUGGGGCUAAUAGCGGAUAGGAGCUCCUGCUGCAUGGUGGGGGUUGGAAAGUUUCGGCGGUUGGGGAUGGACUCGCGGCUUAUCAGCUUGUUGGUGGGGUAGUGGCUUACCAAGGCUUUGCCGGGUAGCCGGCCUGGGCGGGUGACCGGCCCCAUUGGGACUGAGCUGCGGCCCAGACUCCUCCGCGAGGCAGCAGUGGGGUAUAUUGCACAAUGGGCGGAAGCCUGAUGCAGCCACGCAGCGUGCGGGAUGACGGCCUUCGGGUUGUAAACCGCUUUCGCCUGUGCCGAAGCGUGAGUGACGGUAAUGGGUGAAGAAGCACCGGCUAACUACGUG
RNAcentral lists this ribosomal RNA (468 nucleotides) under uncultured bacterium. RNAcentral describes it as "partial 16S ribosomal RNA". It matches the Rfam family "Bacterial small subunit ribosomal RNA", at positions 28 to 507 of the family's 1533-position model. The record is from RNAcentral.